Gallus gallus (chicken) is the source of this 546-nucleotide long non-coding RNA. RefSeq lists it as uncharacterized. The record is from RefSeq and is a predicted model, not a curated record. Lineage: Eukaryota; Metazoa; Chordata; Aves; Galliformes; Phasianidae. The transcript has 4 exons.
AGAGUGGGAGGAGAUAGAAGAGCCAGGAAAGGAAUGAAGUUGAGCCUGGGUAGAAGGGGGACAGUGUGGGGAAAACCAAAUGGAGGGAAUGGGAAGCCUCAGGAAAAGUCAUGUCAAUACAGGAAAAAGAAGCCCAAAUAUAUAAUUGAUGUCUCACCCUGACAUAUAGCACUGAACAGUUUUCUCAAUGAGCUCAUCUCUCCAAAUAUAUCAACUCUCAACAGCCUGCAUUUCUACUAUUUUAUUUGUCACAGUUGCUGGAAUUCGUUAAGUAAAAUCAUUCAAGGGAUAAACUAUUUACCAGACUACUGUGGAUAAUUCACCACCAGACUUCUCGGUAUCCAUCUACAGGCAAGUACUAGUUGUUGUCUCCAUUUCCUUUACUAUGCCAUUGCAGAUGCUCCAGCAUGUGCAUCCACCUUGUAUGCCCUGAAAAGAUAUGGAUGAGGUUUUGGGGUUUGGAGGCAGGAGGUAGAAUAUUGUUAAGGAAUGGGAUGAUUUAUUUCUGAAAUCUUAUUUCCACAUACUCUUAGGGAAAUCAGAUCA